This 90-nucleotide transfer RNA is filed under the name Sphingorhabdus arenilitoris. RNAcentral describes it as "tRNA-Ser". It matches the Rfam family "tRNA". Rfam says of the family: Transfer RNA (tRNA) molecules are approximately 80 nucleotides in length. Their secondary structure includes four short double-helical elements and three loops (D, anti-codon, and T loops). RNAcentral also lists the same sequence under 1 other name. Lineage: Bacteria; Pseudomonadati; Pseudomonadota; Alphaproteobacteria; Sphingomonadales; Sphingorhabdaceae. The record is from RNAcentral.
GGACACGUGGCCGAGUGGUCGAAGGCGCACGCCUGGAAAGUGUGUAUAGGGGUGACUCUAUCGUGGGUUCGAAUCCCACCGUGUCCGCCA